AAACAAGUCUGUUUACUUUUCAUAACAUAUGAUCUUAAUCACAGUUAUUUCACAAUGUCAAAAAAAAAAUGAAUUACCUGAGCUCCAAACUGGGGCUUAAGUGAGAGCGAAUGUACAGGGGCGUGGAUGUAAUUGGGUGAAAUCACAAAGGAAAACCGUUGAAGAAUCAUGGCUAGCACUACUUUGGCCUCCAAUAUCGCAAAGUUUUGUCCAAUGCAAACCCUUGGGCCUAAUGAAAAUGGCAUGAAUGCAUUCGGAUGCUUGGCAGCUUUUGAAAUUCCUUCUCUGAACCGCUCUGGGUUGAACUCGUACACGUUGUCUCCCCAUACAGAUGGAUCAUGGUGCAUUGCAAGGAUUGGAAUCUGCAGUUGCGUACCUGCAGGAAUUGUGAGUCUGCCAAGCUUCAUUGGCUUUUCCGUUUGUCGGAAUAGUGUUACUAUAGGUGGAUAAAGCCGCAUGGAUUCAUUGAAAAUCAUCCCCAUCUGCAAUAAUAAGGUUUGAUUCUAUCAAUGGAAGCUGACAAAACAGGACCACAUGCACACAUUGUACGAAUACUCUCAUGACUUACAAUGGACAGUGUAAGUUGUUUGUAGGUUUCUUAUGUAGAUACAACCACAUCAUUGCACUUGUGAAUUUUUAAUUCUAUUUGUAACCAAACACAUCGGAUCCUACCUGUAGUUCAGAAUGCGCUUUUAUGAAGAUACAGAUUCUGUUGGGAUUGUUGGUGUUGCUAUUCAUCACCUGAAUUGGCAAUAUUGUGUUUUAAUGAUGAUAACAGUGGUCUAGAAAAUGAAAAACAGUAACAGAGGUCUAAGGAAAUAGUGUUUAUUCAAGAUCACUUAGGAACAAAAAGUUUUAAUAGAAAGUUCAGCAUAAACAGUAAAGUGCAACUGCUAACUGUUCCUUGUGAACAAGUCUUGUUUUAUCUGAUUAUGGACCGUACAGUUAAUGCUUCUUGAUGUUAAAAAAUUAUCAGAGUUGCAGCUAGAAGCAUUCCUGAUUUCACUAAUAUGGACUGCGGAAAUAUUGUGUCUCUCAAUAAACUUAUCUGUAAACUCUAAAUUGUUCUGACUACAAGUAAACAUUCACUUUGGCUAGCUGAGCAAGUCCAUUUGAAUUUGAUGAAAAUACUUAUCUGUUUCUACUAUUGAGUUUGCAAUUUCAGGCACCUUAGAAGUUGCAAUUCAAUACUAGAGAACUUUUAUGUGCAUGUCAUUCCCUGGGUAACGAACAUUUUGAAAUUACUUGAUGUGCAGGACUGAUCAAAAUACAACAUUGCAAAUCUAAAGUUACAGUUAUGACUUUCUUGAACCUUGUUAAUUCUGAUAUGUAGAUGAUCAAAUCACAUUACUCUUAAUAGAUAAUUAUUAUAUAGAAAUAAGUUAGCUCCCAAUGAAUCUUCAAAAAUAAUUACUCUUACACAAGAUGCAAUGUAUAACAGGGAAAACAUGUUGGAGGAUGUUGCAAUAAUGUGACAUUAUAUCCUCUCAUAAAUGUCACUGUUUAAAUAGAUAAUAUAUUUAAAGUUUCAUUUUA
This is a long non-coding RNA of Cryptomeria japonica (Japanese cedar), 1536 nucleotides long. RefSeq lists it as uncharacterized. The record is from RefSeq and is a predicted model, not a curated record. The transcript has 3 exons. Lineage: Eukaryota; Viridiplantae; Streptophyta; Pinopsida; Cupressales; Cupressaceae.